CAUAAACAUAGCUUAUUCACAAAUCACACCCAACAAUGUUUGAAGUCUUUCAUAGAUAUCUAUUUCCCUCCCACUUGUGUUCAACAGAAGCUUUGAAGCUCAUGAUGGUGUGAGCAAUGGGAAAUACACUAUUGGACUUGGACAAGAUUGUAUGACAAUUUAUAGUGAGGUUGAAGAUGUUAUUUUAAUGAGGAGUGUGGUAAUACCAACAUUGAAGGUGAUGUAUCAACAGACGCUAUGGUGGAACGACAGCUUUGUUUAAUUGUGUGAAUUGGGUGGAGAAUAGUUCAUGGAAUGGACGCUAUGGACUUGUCAUUUGUACAGACAGUGCAGUAUGAGCUCCUAUACAUAUUGAACUUCUAUUUGCAAAAUCAAUAUUAUAUAAAGUUAUAUAAUAACUGUUAGAAUAUUUAAUCAGUUAAAGUUAACGCGAUAUUUUUCAGUUUUGACUUUUGAUCUAAGUUUGUGACGUUACUGUUGUCAACGAUGGCCUAAUUGUGGUUCGGCAUCUGAGUGGUGAAAGAUUCUUUAUAGUAUUCAAUGAUCAUGUAAUCUUGUAACAUACAGUGUUGAACAAAAUGUAUAUCAAACUCAAUAUGCUUGGUACGAGUAUUAAGUUCUAUUCAUA
This is a long non-coding RNA of Vicia villosa (hairy vetch), 628 nucleotides long. RefSeq lists it as uncharacterized. The record is from RefSeq and is a predicted model, not a curated record. NCBI's taxonomy places the organism in Eukaryota, Viridiplantae, Streptophyta, Magnoliopsida, Fabales, Fabaceae. The transcript is spliced from 3 exons.